This 258-nucleotide ribosomal RNA is filed under the name uncultured Anaerococcus sp. Its description in RNAcentral is "partial 16S ribosomal RNA". It matches the Rfam family "Bacterial small subunit ribosomal RNA", at positions 99 to 354 of the family's 1533-position model. The record is from RNAcentral. Lineage: Bacteria; Bacillati; Bacillota; Tissierellia; Tissierellales; Peptoniphilaceae.
CGGACGGGUGAGUAACGCGUGAGUAACCUGCCUUACACAAGGGGAUAGCCGUUGGAAACGACGAAUAAUACCCUAUGACAUAAACUCUUCGCAUGAGGAACUUAUCAAAGAUUUAUCGGUGUAAGAUGGACUCGCGUCUGAUUAGCUAGUUGGUGAGGUAACGGCCCACCAAGGCGACGAUCAGUAGCCGGCUUGAGAGAGUGUACGGCCAACAUUGGGACUGAGACACGGCCCAGACUCCUACGGGAGGCAGCAGGC